UACGUAGGGGGCAAGCGUUGUCCGGAAUCAUUGGGCGUAAAGAGCGUGUAGGCGGCCAGAUAAGUCCGCUGUGAAAACUCGAGGCUCAACUUCGAGCUGUCGGUGGAAACUAUUUGGCUAGAGUCCGGAAGAGGAGAGUGGAAUUCCUGGUGUAGCGGUGAAAUGCGCAGAUAUCAGGAAGAACACCCGUGGCGAAGGCGGGUCUCUGGGCAGUAACUGACGCUGAGGAGCGAAAGCGUGGGUAGCAAACAGG
RNAcentral lists this ribosomal RNA (253 nucleotides) under uncultured bacterium. RNAcentral describes it as "partial 16S ribosomal RNA". It matches the Rfam family "Bacterial small subunit ribosomal RNA", at positions 524 to 776 of the family's 1533-position model. The record is from RNAcentral.